This 1693-nucleotide long non-coding RNA is filed under the name Homo sapiens (human). RNAcentral describes it as "HSALNT0389571". Lineage: Eukaryota; Metazoa; Chordata; Mammalia; Primates; Hominidae. The record is from RNAcentral.
ACGCAUGCCAAGCCAAACUUGGGGAGACUAUAGUAAGAGAAUCUGUUUUCUCCAUCUUUGGUUGUUUCUGUUUUCGAAAUUCCUUUCCUCUAGGUUCGGAGAAAAAGUUCCUUUUGAAAGGAGGAUUCCAACUUUGCUUUGAAUAAGAGGGAGGAAAGAGGGUUUCCGUGCCAGGCCCAACUAGGUCUACAACAGGAUAGUUAAAGAGCUUAUUCAAAAGGCUUGAACCGAGCAGCCGUGCAGGCAAGCCGAACACAAAAGGAAGCAAAAUACCCCAAGGGUGGCGAGAGCCAGGCCACGGGUGUCCAAGUGCGCCGGCCUCCCCCAGCAGCGGGUUCAUUCCCGGGCUCCUGCUCCUUCUCAGUUACUCGGCCCUCGGUCCCUUGGGCACAGUACCUGGAAUCGAGCUGCGUCUGCCGAGAAGCGUCUCGUGUCGAAUUUGGCCCCCGCGCCGAGCCGGCGAAAGAGAUCGUGGACGUCCAUCUUUACCCAGAAAGCGCCACAGUUCUACGGCGCCUGCGCAGACUACUUCCCAGGCCCCGGGCAGCGUCGGAAGAGGGCGUGAGCAUAAUUGGCUCCUGUAGGCGGAGCCUGGCUGGAUAAAGAAACAGAAACUCAAAGAAGUAACCAGGUCUGUAAACCCCGCACUUUGAGAGGCUGAGGCAGAAGGGAUUGUUUGAAGCCAGGAGAUUGAGACCAGCCUGCACAAUAUAAGGAGACCUUGUCUCUGCAAAAAAUUUAAAAAACAAAAGAAACUCAAAGAGGAGGACAAAGACUCUCUCCAGUGAAGCCUUUCUCUUCUCCUCAGGCCUCUCCUUCCUGACUCAGCCUUGGUUUACCACUGAGAUUUGCCAUAUACCAUACAGAAGAACAAAAACGUUACCAAUUAUUGGCAGGUUUUUUUUGUUUUUUUGUUUUUUUUUUAACCAAACGUCAAGUUGGUGAUGAAGUUAUCUGGAAAUGUCAACCAAACCCAGAAGACUACACAAGACUACAGGAGAAGGCACUCUGGGUAACAGAUUCAAGUUUUCGCAUCAGUUUGUUCGAUGAAGGAUCACAACAUAGACAGUACGGCUUUCUUGCUUCCUCUUCGGAGGUUCCUUGUCUCCCACCUCCAGGACAGACAGGAGUCCUUGACAUCGUGGGAGAGGCAUUGUGGCAAUACUGCAUAGAAGGGAAACUGGGCUUCGGGCUGCGCCUCCUGAGAGUGGAUUGUCUGAGGUGCCAGCAGGACGUCCGUCAGAUUUCAGGUGGAGGAGAGAGAAAACGGCUUGUGACCUUGCAGGUUUCAAAAGAAGAGCAAACAAGAAGGGCAGAUAAGGAGACGCCAGUGAGAUUCUAUGGCCUGUCAUUAGGGAUGGGCUUCCCAGCUAUCAAAUGUUUGCUCACAUAAUAAAAUGGUGGCAGAGCCCAAAAUGUUGUCAAAAGAACUAGAGUUAUUUGCCUCCUUCAGAGUCUAAACACAAACAUCUGAUAAGGGGUGCACUGUGGUCCCUUAGAACUGGAGGCCCAGCACACGCAGCCCCACGGGGGCCUGGCCCAGAAGAUCUCUGAGAGACCGCGGGGCCCUCCGUCUGAAAGGUGUGGUAGCUGUGGCAAAUGUGAAGGACAUCCUUAUUCUAAGAGGAUUUGUUACAUAAUGGUAAGAGCUAACAUUUAUCGACAUCCUACUGUGUGCCAGGCACCAUACCAA